AAGCUAUCACGCUCCAAAUACACAGAAAACCUAGCUCACCAGUACUCACCACCGCUCUCCUUAGCUGUAAGAUUGGUGCAGUUGAAGCAGGAAAGCUCCGUCAAGAGCGCCUGCGCUCUGUAUAGAAGAUGUUGAAGGCGAAGACAUUCAAAGGAGCGAACGUCUUCAUGUCCAGGAACCUGGUGCCGCCGGAGGUCUUCGACGCUCUUCUUGAUGCUCUUAAGCAUAACGGUGCCGAAGUCUUUCUCUGCUGCGAUCCUUCGCGGAAUGGUUCCAACGAUUAUCACAUCAUCUCCUCUCCUGAUCACGAGAAAUUCGAGGAUCUCAGGACUAAGGGCUGUAAUUUGCUAGGUCCUCAGUGUGUGCUUUCAUGUGCAAAAGAACAUAGAGCACUGCCUAAACAAGGCUUCACAUGUUGCCUUGCAAUGGAUGGUGUCAAAGUACUGGCAUCCGGCUUUGAAAUGGAUGAAAAGGUCAAGAUAGAAAAGUUGAUAACAGCAAUGGGUGGUCAGUUGCAUGCUAAGGCAUCUUUGGAUGUUAGUUUCAUCAUUGUAAAGAAUGUUUUGGCUGCGAAGUACAAGUGGGCUGUAAAUGUUCUGAAGAAACCAAUUGUAACUAUUAAUUGGUUAUAUCAAUGCUGGAAUGAGCACCGUGUUGUUCCUCAAGAGUCACACAGGGUCCUUCCCUUUUCUGGAUUAACGAUAUGUGUCACCAGAAUACCUGCAGAUGAGCGGAAGGAGAUUGAAAGAAUCAUCACACAAAAUGGUGGGAAAUACUCUGCUGAGCUGACCAAGAAGUGCACACAUUUGAUCUGUGAUGCUCCUGAAGGUGACAAGUACAAGGUUGCUAGAAGAUGGGCCCACAUUCAUAUUGUAACUCGGAAAUGGUUUGAUCAAUCUGUUGCUAGACGAGCAUGUCUUAAUGAGGAGUCUUAUCCGGUUCAAGGUGGUUCUGUAUCUUCAAAUAAAAAUUUGAAGUGUUCCUCAAUGGCACAGCCUAUCCAAGAAAAGUAUAUUGCAAAUUCACUAUCUGUGCAGUCCUCCAUUGCUGCAGAAUCCAGUUUGCCAGCUUUUCCUUGUGCAGUUCCUGAGUCAGAUUUAGAAGCUGCUCUCUCACAGAACAUGUCUUCUAUGUUUCCAGAUCCUGUCUUUAUGCAAGUUGGGGAUGAUGAAAUGCCUGCAGUGAACCUCACAAAUGAAACAAACCUUGACAGUUGUAUUGCCAAUGACUCUCAAUCUGAAGAUAGUGAACUCUACUUGUCAGAGUGUAGAAUAUCGCUUGUUGGCUUUGAAGCUUCUGAGUUACGUAAAUUAGUUAAUAUGGUGCGUAGAGGUGGGGGUUCUCGGUAUAUGUCAUUCAAUGAUAAAUUGACGCACAUUGUAGUUGGAGCUCCAACAGAGGUUGAAAAAAAGGAACUAAGGGGCCUUGCUGCCUUCGGUGUUAUUAAUGUGGUUAGACCAACCUGGCUUGAAGAUUGUGAUCAUGAAAAGAAAGAAAUCCCUGUUCUCAGGAAGCAUAUUGCCUAUGAUUUACUUCUUCCUAAAGAUCCUGCGAACUCCAUUAAAGGAGCAGUAGUUGGCAUGGCUAGUAUAAAUCAAGGUAAAGUCUCCAAUACCCAUUCAAGCAUUCGCUCAGAUCAUGUAAUGGUUGGUGCAAACUUUGGCAAUGGGAUGGCUUCAUUGUUGGAGAAAAACAGAGAAGAGAAACCAGAAAUCAACCUGAAAGGGCGAAUAUCUUUGGAAGCGACUUUGAGACAGUCCCAACAGAACCUGUUAUCUGUUGUUGAUGAUCAAAAGAAGGGUGGAAAGCAACAUGAUUCCAGGGAUCAAAAUAAGAGGCCACUAUCUGUUUUUAAGGGGAAAACAUUUCGCUUUUCAAACUCCUUUCCUGAAGAUAGGAGAGCUGAAAUUGUUCAGUGGGUGAGUCAAGGGGGAGGGGAGAUGGUGGAAGAUCAUGUAAAACAGAAUGUGCAUUUUACCAUUGAGUGCCAUGGUGUGAUACCAAGGUCUGUCGAUGUUCCCCAAACUACUUAUGUAUCCAGUCAUUGGGUCAGAUCUUGUUUAGAGGAUGGAUGCCUGCUGGACGUUGGUGGUCAUAUUAUAUAUUCCCCACUUCCUUGCCAGAUUCCUUUGCCUGGCUUUGAAAGCUUCAGGUUUUGCAUCUCACAGUAUGAAGAGAGAGAAAGAUUACUAUUAAGAAACUUGUGCUUUGUUCUUGGAGCUAAAUUUGUGGAGAAACUGACCAGAAAGGUCACCCAUCUAUUAUGCAAGUUUACCAAUGGACCAAAAUAUGAGGCUGCUUGUAAGUGGGGCAUAUGCUCGAUUACUUCUGAGUGGAUUUAUGAGUGUGCCAGGCAGAAUGAAGUUGUCACAGUGGAUCAAUUUCGGCCAAAAGUAGUUACUUCUCAAGACCAGGAUGCAGGUUUGUGCACUGUGAGCCAGUUUCCUACUCAGGCUGAUCGAAUGAUAUCUGGAGAGAGCCCAUCUCAACUUAUAAGCCAGUCACAAGACCUUAGAACUGCACCAAGUCUGACUGGUGGUGGUAGAAUUAACAGCUUUAGGGAAGAGCUCCAAAAAUCCAGUGAUUAUACUAAAAAGGCAAGACUUUUGGAAAGUGAUGACCAAAAGGAGCUGCUUUCUUCUGGAGUUCAUUUAGAUGAUUCUGUCAGCAACAUAAAUCCCAUUAGAGGCAAAAAUCCAAAAGAUAAUGGAGAAUCUUCUCACAGCGUUCCUGAUGUAGCAGCUGCUAUCGAAGACUUACUAGAGCAGACAAGCAAGGUUAUAUUAUUAAUGACUCUUCAAUUGCUUUUUUGAUGUUUAGUUUAUUGAUUACUUUAUUCUGUCUUACCUUCAGAUACAUGAUCAGAAGUCACCAGGGAGGACUGGGUGUGAUAAAAAUGUAUCCUAUAUUAUGAUUGUUCUUUUUCACAUAUAAUAUUAGAUCUGUUCUUCUGUCUAAUCCUUGAUGGUGGAACAGCUUUAUUCUUCUGAUACGGUGCUUGGUGAAGAACAUGGCUCUCACUCUGUCAUUGGGUUACCUAAGCACUGGUUAAAUAGAACUGGAAAAAGAGACGAGUUAUCUAAUCCUUCUAGAGAUUUAAAUAGAGGAAUGUAUGAUGGGUUCAGUGAAACUCAAACAGAGUCUCAGGUUGUUGGCUAUGAAGAAGAUUUGUCGGGCAGGCAAAUGCUUAUAGAUAGAGUUCGAACCCGAAGUAGCAUGGCCUAAAGUGGAAUGGGGGCUCCCUGUAAAAUUUAUAUGGCAGUUGACAACACCAUAUGCUGAGAUGAAGGUUUGAUGGCAAAUCUAAGGUUGUUUGGCCUGUCAAGGUGAAUUUUUAAUGCCUUGCAUCAAUUCCAAAAUCAACCUUGCUAAGAUGGGUGGUAAAGAUUAGGCAGGGCUUAGAUGGCAUUUGUAUUAUGUAUACCUAGAUAGUUUUGAGUCAAUUAUAAUAUGAUGAUGUACGCAGCUUGUGAAGUAACAUUUUAUAUAAUUAGGCUGUGAAUGUCAUUUCAAGGAUUUUGCAUGAAAUACGUGAUGUAUUGUAUUGGUUCAGAUAAUCCUAAUCGGGAGUAGUUUUUUGAAUUUGACAUUACUCCAUUCUGCUAAGCUCGAAUCAACAUAAUAGGAACAG
RNAcentral lists this unclassified non-coding RNA (3631 nucleotides) under Hevea brasiliensis (rubber tree). The record is from RNAcentral. Lineage: Eukaryota; Viridiplantae; Streptophyta; Magnoliopsida; Malpighiales; Euphorbiaceae.